Molecule: ribosomal RNA, 408 nt
Filed under: Camaenidae sp. MQ2
Lineage: Eukaryota; Metazoa; Mollusca; Gastropoda; Stylommatophora; Camaenidae
Description: partial 16S ribosomal RNA
Rfam family: Bacterial large subunit ribosomal RNA
Source: RNAcentral
CAAAAACAUAGCCCUGUUGUAGUACAUAAUCGGUAAUUUCUGCUCAAUGAUAAUAUUAAAUAGCCGCAGUACCCUGACUGUGCAAAGGUAGCAUAAUCAGUUGACUUCUAAUUAAAGUCUAGAAUGAAUGAAUAUAUGAGGGGUAAGCUGUAUCAUUUACUUUUCCAAAAGUUACUGAGAGGGUGCAAAUUCCCUUUGUUUAAUAAAAGACGAGAAGACCCUAGAAAUUUAUAUUAAACUUUUGUUGGGGCAACAUAGUAACAGUGUCAACUUACUAUAUGUGCGGGAAGUAGUGCGGAUUGACAAAAUUACUCUAGGGAUAACAGCAUAAUACGAAAGUGUUUGUGACCUCGAUGUUGGAUUAGGAAGUUGUAGCUUAGAAAGUACCCAUAACGCUCUGUUCGAGCA